This is a long non-coding RNA of Tyto alba (common barn owl), 1463 nucleotides long. RefSeq lists it as uncharacterized. The transcript is spliced from 2 exons. The record is from RefSeq and is a predicted model, not a curated record. Lineage: Eukaryota; Metazoa; Chordata; Aves; Strigiformes; Tytonidae.
GCUCCACGGCUCCAAGUUAGCCCGCGUGCCGCGGCGGAGAGGUGUCCCGAGCCACGCGUGGCCGCGGUGGGCGUGCGGCGGGAGCACCCGGAGGUGGCCAGGCUCUCUGCAUGGCCGGCCUGGAAAGCCUUGGCUCGCUUUGCCGCGUCGUCGCGGCCUUUUCUCCCUGAGGAUGGUUUCCACUUCAGUGAGUUUCCUGAUCAAGUUCACCAGCUGGCUGCAGAAACAAUCCUGUCAGCUCAAGGGAAUUGCAGCACAAGGACCAGAAUAAAGCUCUAAAUUGAAGCUAUUUUUGUUUAGUAGAAACCCUGGUUAAUUGCUGUAGGACUUUAUGAAUCCACAGAUUACAGCUGGACGACUAACAGAGGCUAUGUGAUAAACUGCUUUGGUAGGUGCAGUGAAGUUCAUCAUACGGUUCUUUGGGCGAGCAGCACGCUCUGGUUUGGGCCGGAUAGGUCAUGGCUGGUCUGCACACUGAUCCCAGUGCUCUACAGCACCAAAGGCAUCUCACAGAUGCCCAUGUUUCAUACAUACAGGCUUCUGCAGCGUGAACCGCUCUGCCUCUGUCACUGUCCUCCGUGUCCACAUCAUGACACGCGAGAGCAGGGACCGGAACCGCAGCUGCCGCCUACCUGCUCCGCGGCACUAACUGCGCAGCCAUGUAGCGGGCUGCUGCUCCUGAAAACUGCCGAGGACAGCAGGCUUAGGGCUCUCAAGGCAGGAUAAACUGAGGGGAUGCACAGCAUAGGGUGGCACCCACGUCAGAGACCGAGAGUAAAACUGUGGGAAAAGUAAUUAAGAACCUGGAAACUGGCCACAGUACAUGCAAUGUUUGUGUGCAUUUUUUUUCAGAAUAUUUUUUUUUCUUCUGAAUUUGCAGAGAGCAAUGAAUUAAGGAAAGACACGGGAUGGAGAAUUUUGGAAUUCCCUCAGCCUCACUGAAAUCCUUUUAUUCCAAUUUUAUUUGUGUUACAGGACGAAGAAACCAGACUAGCACAUCACAUAGAAUAAUCCACACAGUAUACAAAAAUUACUUUUAUGGAAGAGGCUAAACAAAGUCAGGAGAUAGUAUUGAUUUCAGUGUGACGUGACUGCAAACAGACCUAGCUUAUGCUACCUUGUUUAUUAGAAUUUUUGGCCUACAGAACUUUUCUCUAUAAAAUGAUUGUCACUGAAAACAAUCAUAGCAACUUCAGAAAAUAAGCAGAGGAACAUAGGACACGAGUCAAUUGCACAUAAAUUUUUUUCCAGAGACACAGUAUUUCAGACUGAUCAAGGUAAAACAGAUGGAGCACAACCUUGUUAUGAAUCUUGCUUCUAUUACUAAGUCCCACAGAGCUAGACAUAACUGAAAUUUUCACUAAGGUAGAAGUACAACAAAUUCUUGAAGACAUUUGUAAGGGCUAUUUCAGAUCACAUGGAGGGUGGUCAAACCAGGAGGAAUAAAACAGCUUUUUAAUCAA